AGAGUUUGAUCCUGGCUCAGAUUGAACGCUGGCGGCAUGCCUAACACAUGCAAGUCGAACGGCAGCACAGUAAAGAUUUCGGUCUUUAUGGGUGGCGAGUGGCGGACGGGUGAGUAACACGUAGGAAUCUGUCCUGGAGAGUGGGAUAACCCGAGGAAACUCGGGCUAAUACCGCAUGACAUCGAGAGAUUAAAAGCAGGGGACCGAAAGGCCUUGUGCUCUGGGGUGAGCCUACGUCGGAUUAGCUAGUUGGUGGGGUAAGAGCCUACCAAGGCGACGAUCCGUAGCUGGUCUGAGAGGAUGACCAGCCACACUGGGACUGAGACACGGCCCAGACUCCUACGGGAGGCAGCAGUGGGGAAUCUUGGACAAUGAGGGAAACCCUAACCCAGCGAUGCCGCGUGUGUGAAGAAGGCCUUCGGGUUGUAAAGCACUUUAGGUGGGGAAGAAAGGUAGAGAGUGAAUAAUUUUCUGCUAUGACGGUACCCGCAGAAUAAGCACCGGCUAACUCUGUGCCAGCCGCCGCGGUAAUUC
Molecule: ribosomal RNA, 534 nt
Filed under: uncultured bacterium
Lineage: Bacteria
Description: bacterial SSU rRNA
Rfam family: Bacterial small subunit ribosomal RNA
Source: RNAcentral